CCUACGGGUGGCAGCAGUAGGGAAUCUUUCACAAUGGGCGAAAGCCUGAUGGAGCAACGCCGCGUGCAGGAUGAAGGCCCUCGGGUUGUAAACUGCCUGUAUAAGCGAGAAAUAUGAUGGUAACUUAUGAAUAAGGAUCGGCUAACUACGUGCCAGCAGCCGCGGUCAUACGUAUGAUCCGAGCACUAUCCGGAGUGACUGGGUGUAAAGAGUUGCGUAGGUGGCAUAAUAAGUAGCUAGUGAAAUCUGGUGGCUCAACCAUUCAGACUAUUAGCUAAACUGUUAAGCUCGAGACCGUUAGGGGUAACUGGAAUGUCUAGUGUAGGAGUGAAAUCCGUAGAUAUUAGAAGGAACACCAAUAGCGUAGGCAGGUUGCUGGGACGGUUCUGACACUAAGGCACGAAAGCGUAGGGAGCAAACGGGAUUAGAUUCCCCUGUAGUC
Molecule: ribosomal RNA, 442 nt
Filed under: uncultured bacterium
Lineage: Bacteria
Description: partial 16S ribosomal RNA
Rfam family: Bacterial small subunit ribosomal RNA
Source: RNAcentral